UGGGGAAUAUUGCACAAUGGGCGCAAGCCUGAUGCAGCCAUGCCGCGUGUGUGAAGAAGGCCUUCGGGUUGUAAAGCACUUUCAGCGGGGAGGAAGGCGUUAAGGUUAAUAACCUUGGCGAUUGACGUUACCCGCAGAAGAAGCACCGGCUAACUCCGUGCCAGCAGCCGCGGUAAUACGGAGGGUGCAAGCGUUAAUCGGAAUUACUGGGCGUAAAGCGCACGCAGGCGGUCUGUCAAGUAGGAUGUGAAAUCCCCGGGCUCAACCUGGGAACUGCAUUCGAAACUGGCAGGCUAGAGUCUUGUAGAGGGGGGUAGAAUUCCAGGUGUAGCGGUGAAAUGCGUAGAGAUCUGGAGGAAUACCGGUGGCGAAGGCGGCCCCCUGGACAAAGACUGACGCUCAGGUGCGAAAGCGUGGGGAGCAAACAGG
RNAcentral lists this ribosomal RNA (429 nucleotides) under Chloroflexota bacterium. Its description in RNAcentral is "Chloroflexi bacterium partial 16S ribosomal RNA". It matches the Rfam family "Bacterial small subunit ribosomal RNA", at positions 355 to 776 of the family's 1533-position model. Lineage: Bacteria; Bacillati; Chloroflexota. The record is from RNAcentral.